This 841-nucleotide ribosomal RNA is filed under the name uncultured bacterium. Its description in RNAcentral is "bacterial SSU rRNA". It matches the Rfam family "Bacterial small subunit ribosomal RNA", at positions 28 to 860 of the family's 1533-position model. The record is from RNAcentral.
GAUGAACGCUAGCUACAGGCUUAACACAUGCAAGUCGAGGGGUAACAUGAAGCAAGCUUGCUUGCUUUGAUGACGACCGGCGCACGGGUGAGUAACGCGUAUCCAACCUGCCCCUUACUACGGGACAGCCCGGCGAAAGUCGGAUUAAUACCGUAUGUGGUGUGAAGAGGGCAUCUGACUUACACUAAAGAUUCAUCGGUAAGGGAUGGGGAUGCGUCCGAUUAGGUUGUCGGCGGGGUAACGGCCCACCGAGCCCGCGAUCGGUAGGGGUUCUGAGAGGAAGGUCCCCCACACUGGAACUGAGACACGGUCCAGACUCCUACGGGAGGCAGCAGUGAGGAAUAUUGGUCAAUGGGCGCGAGCCUGAACCAGCCAAGUAGCGUGAGGGAAGACUGCCCUAUGGGUUGUAAACCUCUUUAGUCUGGGAAUAAAGUCGGCGACGUGUCGCCGUUUGUAGGUACCAGAAGAAUAAGGACCGGCUAAUUCCGUGCCAGCAGCCGCGGUAAUACGGAAGGUCCGGGCGUUAUCCGGAUUUAUUGGGUUUAAAGGGAGCGCAGGCGGCCUGUUAAGCGGGCAGUUAAAGGCGGUGGCCCAACCAUCGUUAGCUGUCCGAACUGCCGGGCUUGAGUACGUGCGAGGUAUGCGGAAUUCGUGGUGUAGCGGUGAAAUGCUUAGAUAUCACGAAGAACCCCGAUUGCGAAGGCAGCAUACCAGUGCGCCACUGACGCUAAAGCUCGAAAGCGCGGGUAUCGAACAGGAUUAGAUACCCUGGUAGUCCGCGCGGUAAACGAUGGAUGCCCGCUGUGCGGCCUUUUAUGGUUGCGCGGCCAAGCGAAAGCAU